This 507-nucleotide ribosomal RNA is filed under the name Olinga feredayi. RNAcentral describes it as "SSU rRNA". It matches the Rfam family "Eukaryotic small subunit ribosomal RNA", at positions 636 to 1108 of the family's 1831-position model. Lineage: Eukaryota; Metazoa; Arthropoda; Insecta; Trichoptera; Conoesucidae. The record is from RNAcentral.
UUGAAAUUGUGUCCUGCGGUGUCGGUCUACCGAUUGCGGUACGACAGGCACGUCUGCGGGGCUUCUCGCCGGUGCGUCCACCCGCCGGCGUGCGUCGGUCGGCCUCACGGUCGGCCGCGCACCGAGGCGGGCCGUCGCGGCUGUUUACUUUGAACAAAUUAGAGUGCUCAAAGCGGGCUAACACUUGCCUGAAUAUUGUACGCAUGGAAUAAUAGAAUAGGACCUCGGUUCUGUUUUGUUGGCUUUCUGAUACCAGAGGUAAUGAUUAAUAGGGACAACUGGGGGCAUUCGUAUUGCGACGUUAGAGGUGAAAUUCUUGGAUCGUCGCAAGACGGACUAAAGCGAAAGCAUUUGCCAAAGGUGUUUUCAUUAAUCAAGAACGAAAGUUAGAGGUUCGAAGGCGAUUAGAUACCGCUGUAGUUCUAACCAUAAAUGAUGCCAGCCAGCGAUCCGCCGAAGUUUCAUAAAUUUAACCCGGUGGGCAGCUCCCGGGAAACCAAAGCUUUC